Long non-coding RNA from Parus major (Great Tit), 1888 nucleotides. RefSeq lists it as uncharacterized. The transcript has 7 exons. NCBI's taxonomy places the organism in Eukaryota, Metazoa, Chordata, Aves, Passeriformes, Paridae. The record is from RefSeq and is a predicted model, not a curated record.
GAAACGCUCUAGUUUAUUUAUAUAGCCCCUCCACCCUCGGCUCUUCCCACCAGUCCCCAAAUUCCCUAGAAAUCCAGCUAAGGCGUGGGGAAGAGGAGAAAGCAGUUUUGGAGGGGAGGGAGUUAUUUAUUUUUGUUUUGUUUGGGGAUUGUUUUGCUUUGUUGAUUUUUUUUCUUUGCAUACAAAAAUAAGUGAAGAAGAUUUUGCAAGGUGAGGCCGCACCGUCGAGGCCGGAGGCGGCUCGAGAGCAGCGGGGGCCGCAGGCAGAUUCCUCAGGACAGAUAUCUUCUGCAAGUCCUUUCAGAGGAGAUCUACCAGUGAGAUGUCCACAAUAGCAGAUUGAAAAGGAUGAUAAAAUAAAAUGGCAAGGACUAUGUGGAACCAAACAGCAACUACUGGCUGUCUUCUUGUAGAAAACCCUUGCACUGCUCAAGCAUCUCUACUCUAUUCCUCCCUUUUCUUCAUGCCCCCUAAGGUGGAGGGAGGAGAGGGAAGUAUCAAAACUACAGGCCUAUGUAAACUCUGCAGCAUCAGAAAGAGCGUAGCACAGCCCCUGUUCUGGACAGAAGGACAGACGUCCGAGGGACAUGGGCAUCUCAUCUCAGUCAUGCAUGUCACUACUCCUUUAACUUUGCUAAGGACUUCUCUCUCGCCUCUGUUGUGCUCUGCUGUACAGCUUGGCCACCAUCCAUAUGAUGGAGCAAUGUAGCCAAGCUGUGGGGUGACCAAGGCUUGCAUCACUGCCCUGACCCAGAUUGCAUCUGCAGUCAUCUGGAACUGACUACACGCCUGAGCUGAUAAAAGAGGCUGUGGAAAUUCAGAUCUCUGGGGCCUUGCAAGAUGUUUGUGCCAUAUCCACCUGUCCUCUGGAAGACAAAAGAGUGAGGAUCAGCAGUGUAUAAUUUAUUCUGCAUAAACUGAACAGAUGAGAACUGCCUUGACAGCUACUAGAAGAAAAUAGUGUGAUAUGACCACAGAAAGCACAUGUUCUAUCUAACAAUUUCACUAUUGAUCCCAACGAGGAGUGGCACUCAACCUCCUUCUGAUUACCUCUGUUCUUUUCUUUUGCUCUAACAGUAUAUUUUCUUUCCAACACACAAGUGUUUAUGCAAAAAUACCAAGAUUCUUUAUGCAGAUUAAAAUAGGUUUACAAAUUAAGGAAAGGUUGGUAUGGAACAAGAGGAAAAUUAUCCCAGCAUUUUGCAUUUUUUUGUAAUCCAAGUCCUGUCUUUGGAGGGUGUUAUAACAACUACACACUUGGUGAGGCCUAAGAGGAUUUUCCUUGUGAAAUGACUGAAGGAGUUAGCCCUAGAAUAUCACCCUGCUCUAAAAGAGGUGUUCAGUAAGCAAUAGGUGGGCUCUCUUGGGAAAAAUGCAGAAGAAAGCUUGGUGAGAGCUGGAUCCUCUGCAGUGUCACCUCUCAUGAGUGACUGACAAAAGAAAAAAAAUAAAAAAAUAGGUGAACUAGUUCACUGUGGGGAUGGAAGGAUGGAUGCUUCCUGUUGUGGAAUAGGACGAAAUCCUGUGACAUGUUCUCUCCUAUUAGGUCUGAUACCAAUGCUUAUGAUAAAGAUUAAUUUCUAAAAAAACAACUGUAAACCUAUAGGUCAGCCAAUAAGACACUGACUUGACUAAUUUUUCAUUGCAAAGAGUAUGAUAGUUUCAUGCCUUUAAUUAACAUCAGUGCAGACAGUGUGUUGUUGAAUACAAUUAAAUUUGAAUCCUACUAUGAAUUUGUUUUCCACAAGUAGAUUAUGAACAGAAGCCUUUGAUUUCUAUUACUUAUGUAUUUUUGAGUGAAAAGCUAUUUCGUGUAUAUAUAUUUAAUAACAGGAAAUGUAGCAAACAUUUAUUUUUAUUAAACUAAUAAAUAAAAGGGAUAAACCUA